UAGGGAAUCUUCCGCAAUGGACGAAAGUCUGACGGAGCAACGCCGCGUGAGUGAUGAAGGUUUUCGGAUCGUAAAGCUCUGUUGUUAGGGAAGAACAAGUGCCGUUCAAAUAGGGCGGCACCUUGACGGUACCUAACCAGAAAGCCACGGCUAACUACGUG
Molecule: ribosomal RNA, 161 nt
Filed under: uncultured bacterium
Lineage: Bacteria
Description: partial 16S ribosomal RNA
Rfam family: Bacterial small subunit ribosomal RNA
Source: RNAcentral